This 253-nucleotide ribosomal RNA is filed under the name uncultured bacterium. RNAcentral describes it as "partial 16S ribosomal RNA". It matches the Rfam family "Bacterial small subunit ribosomal RNA", at positions 524 to 776 of the family's 1533-position model. The record is from RNAcentral.
UACGUAGGGUGCAAGCGUUGUCCGGAAUUAUUGGGCGUAAAGAGCUCGUAGGCGGUCUGUUGCGUCGGCUGUGAAAACCCGAGGCUCAACCUCGGGCCUGCAGCCGAUACGGGCAGACUAGAGUUCGGCAGGGGAGACUGGAAUUCCUGGUGUAGCGGUGAAAUGCGCAGAUAUCAGGAGGAACACCGGUGGCGAAGGCGGGUCUCUGGGCCACGCCUGACGCUGAGACGCGAAAGCGCGGGGAGCGAACGGG